GUGGGGAAUCUUAGACAAUGGGGGAAACCCUGAUCUAGCCAUGCCGCGUGAGCGAUGAAGGCCUUAGGGUUGUAAAGCUCUUUCAGCUGGGAAGAUAAUGACUGUACCAGCAGAAGAAGCCCCGGCUAACUCCGUGCCAGCAGCCGCGGUAAUACGGAGGGGGCUAGCGUUGUUCGGAAUUACUGGGCGUAAAGCGCACGUAGGCGGACCGGAAAGUCAGAGGUGAAAUCCCAGGGCUCAACCUUGGAACUGCCUUUGAAACUCCUGGUCUUGAGGUCGAGAGAGGUGAGUGGAAUUCCGAGUGUAGAGGUGAAAUUCGUAGAUAUUCGGAGGAACACCAGUGGCGAAGGCGGCUCACUGGCUCGAUACUGACGCUGAGGUGCGAAAGCGUGUGGAGCAAACAGGAUUAGAAACCCUGGUAGUCC
Molecule: ribosomal RNA, 425 nt
Filed under: uncultured bacterium
Lineage: Bacteria
Description: partial 16S ribosomal RNA
Rfam family: Bacterial small subunit ribosomal RNA
Source: RNAcentral